RNAcentral lists this long non-coding RNA (534 nucleotides) under Monodon monoceros (narwhal). Its description in RNAcentral is "lncRNA (ENSMMNG00015000773.1)". Lineage: Eukaryota; Metazoa; Chordata; Mammalia; Artiodactyla; Monodontidae. The record is from RNAcentral.
GAUGAGUAGUGACUCUAGAAGGGGCUGGUUGGAACCGGGGCUGAGGGUGAGGACUCUGGCAAGCUGCCACUCAAGAGAAGAUGCACGGAGUCUUGCAGAUUAGAAACAGACUACAGCAGGAGAUGCCUUCCACUGCCCACGGGAACAGUUCUUCUCAUCCCUUUUCUCGCAAAGGAAUAUCAUAGAAAAAAAAUUGAAAAAUACUUCCCCAUGUGAAGGAGCUUUGGUUCAGCUGCAGAGCUAAACUCACAUCUGCACUAGAUUGGAAUUGGCUGUGAAUGAUUACAAAUGAAAAUCUGUUGUUGCUGAAGGAUCUUAUUUGCAACAAAAGACAAGAACAGGAACAAAGAAAAUGCAACAUACAAUGCAGUAUUAGAACUUCAAAGGAAAACAAAAUGCAUGUUUACAGAAAGAGGAAAGCUGAAGGAAAUAAAACUCAGCACAAAAUAGAGCAACACUUGAAUGGCAACUGCUGGGAUGUACAAAGAGGAGACACAAAAUGGGAAGACAAGAUGCAUUUUUUUUAAAGGCAGG